UACGGGGGGUGCAAACGUUGCUCGGAAUUAUUGGGCGUAAAGCGCACGUAGGCGGUCUGGUAAGUCGGGUGUGAAAGCCCGGGGCUUAACCCCGGAAGUGCACUCGAAACUGUCAGGCUUGAGUAUGGAAGAGGGUCUCGGAAUUCCCGGUGUAGAGGUGAAAUUCGUAGAUAUCGGGAGGAACACCAGUGGCGAAGGCGGAGACCUGGGCCAAUACUGACGCUGAGGUGCGAAAGCGUGGGGAGCAAACAGG
Molecule: ribosomal RNA, 253 nt
Filed under: uncultured prokaryote
Description: partial 16S ribosomal RNA
Rfam family: Bacterial small subunit ribosomal RNA
Source: RNAcentral